GUGACCUCAAAUCAGGUAGGACUACCCGCUGAACUUAAG
RNAcentral lists this ribosomal RNA (39 nucleotides) under Thaxterogaster kaimanawa. RNAcentral's name for it is "Cortinarius kaimanawa partial 28S ribosomal RNA". Lineage: Eukaryota; Fungi; Basidiomycota; Agaricomycetes; Agaricales; Cortinariaceae. The record is from RNAcentral.